RNAcentral lists this ribosomal RNA (253 nucleotides) under uncultured bacterium. RNAcentral describes it as "partial 16S ribosomal RNA". It matches the Rfam family "Bacterial small subunit ribosomal RNA", at positions 524 to 776 of the family's 1533-position model. The record is from RNAcentral.
GACAGAGGUGCCAAGCGUUAGGCGGAAUCACUGGGCUUAAAGCGUGUGUAGGCGGGCGAUCAAGUACCUUGUAAAAUCCCACGGCUCAACCGUGGAACUGCUGGGUAUACUGGUUGUCUUGAGCCAGCUAGGGGCGAGCGGAACAGACGGUGGAGCGGUGAAAUGCGUAGAUAUCGUCUGGAACGCCGAAGGUGAAAACAGCUCGCUGGGGCUGCGCUGACGCUGAGACACGAAAGCCAGGGGAGCGAACGGG